Molecule: small nucleolar RNA, 108 nt
Organism: Lactuca sativa (garden lettuce)
Lineage: Eukaryota; Viridiplantae; Streptophyta; Magnoliopsida; Asterales; Asteraceae
Source: RefSeq, a predicted model, not a curated record
AAGCUCAUUUUGAGGACAAUUUCUUAAUAAUCCUUUGUAGCGAUCCCAUGCCUCAUAAAGUGACUCACCCGGAUUUUUCUCAAAAUUGGUUAUUGCCUACCUAAGUUU